Molecule: ribosomal RNA, 550 nt
Filed under: uncultured Glomeromycotina
Lineage: Eukaryota; Fungi; Glomeromycota
Description: SSU rRNA
Rfam family: Eukaryotic small subunit ribosomal RNA
Source: RNAcentral
UUGGAGGGCAAGUCUGGUGCCAGCAGCCGCGGUAAUUCCAGCUCCAAUAGCGUAUAUUAAAGUUGUUGCAGUUAAAAAGCUCGUAGUUGAACCUCGGGGUCUACCCAUUGGUCAGGCUUAAUUGUCUGUACUGGUGAGAUGGAUCUCUACCUUCUGAGGAACUUUCAUGCCAUUUAUUUGGUGUGAUGGGAAAUCAGGACUGUUACUUUGAAAAAAUUAGAGUGUUUAAAGCAGACUAUCGUCUGAAUACAUUAGCAUGGAAUAAUGAAAUAGGACGGACUGAUUCUAUUUCGUUGGUUUCUAGGAUCACCGUAAUGAUUAAUAGGGAUAGUUGGGGGCAUUAGUAUUCAAUUGUCAGAGGUGAAAUUCUUGGAUUUAUUGAAGACUAACUACUGCGAGAGCAUUUGCCAAGGAUGUUUUCAUUAAUCAAGAACGAAAGUUAGGGGAUCGAAGACGAUCAGAUACCGUCGUAGUCUUAACCAUAAACUAUGCCGACUAGGGAUCGGACGAAGUUAAUUUUAUAAUGACGCGUUCGGCGCCUUACGGAAAC